AGCAGCCGCGGUAAUUCCAGCUCCAAUAGCGUAUAUUAAAGUUGUUGCAGUUAAAAAGCUCGUAGUUGAACUUCGGGAUCAAUUGAUAUGGUCAUGCCUUGGUAUGUACUGUUCAUAUUGGUUCUCACCUUCUAAUGAACCAUAAUGUCAUUUAUUUGAUGUUAUGGGGAAUUAGGACUGUUACCUUGAAAAAAUUAGAGUGUUUAAGGCAGGCUCACGCUUGAAUACAUUAGCAUGGAAUAAUGAAAUAGGACAUCGCAUUCUAUUUUGUUGGUUUCUAGGAUCGAUGUAAUGAUUAAUAGGGAUAGUUGGGGGCAUUAGUAUUCAAUUGUCAGAGGUGAAAUUCUUGGAUUUAUUGAAGACUAACUACUGCGAAAGCAUUUGCCAAGGAUGUUUUCAUUAAUCAAGAACGAAAGUUAGGGGAUCGAAGGCGAUCAGAUACCGCCCUAGUUCAGACCGUAAACGAUGCCAACUAGCGAUCCGAGGGCGUUAAUUU
This 496-nucleotide ribosomal RNA is filed under the name uncultured Glomus. RNAcentral describes it as "bacterial SSU rRNA". It matches the Rfam family "Eukaryotic small subunit ribosomal RNA", at positions 569 to 1069 of the family's 1831-position model. The record is from RNAcentral. Lineage: Eukaryota; Fungi; Glomeromycota; Glomeromycetes; Glomerales; Glomeraceae.